RNAcentral lists this long non-coding RNA (217 nucleotides) under Homo sapiens (human). RNAcentral's name for it is "HSALNT0238687". Lineage: Eukaryota; Metazoa; Chordata; Mammalia; Primates; Hominidae. The record is from RNAcentral.
GCAGAUCUUCGUGAAGACCCUGACCGGCAAGACCAUCACCCUGGAAGUGGAGCCCAGUGACACCAUCGAAAAUGUGAAGGCCAAGAUCCAAGAUAAAGAAGGCAUCCCCCCCGACCAGCAGAGGCUCAUCUUUGCAGGCAAGCAGCUGGAAGAUGGCGGUACUCUUUCUGACUACAACAUCCAGAAGGAGUCGACCCUGCACCUGGUCCUGCGUCUG